AUGAGUUCGAUUGGAAGGGGUGCUGGUUGUGCAAAUGGAGUUGAUGCUGCUAUUGUAGCUUUGGCCAAGGUGUUGCUAAUUAAUUGUGAAGGCAGUGAUGGGGAUGCAGGUAUUUCAUCGUCAGAUGUUAACAAUUUGAUCAUGCAUUCUUGCCGUGACAUCAAUGUCGAGCAUGUUGCCCCCAAUUACCCACUGCCGUGCAACAUGGGUGUGCCUCCCAAUGUUGAACCAUGUAGAGCUUCCGUUGAUGCUCAUGAGAGGAAGAAGCGGUUGAGGCUCCCCAAAGGUGUAGUUGAUUCCUCAAAUGUCACCAGCAAUUCUCAUGUUCCAGAUGCAUGUGCUAGAGUCCGUGUGCAAGUUGGCACAUCACUGGAUGUCUCUGCUAGUCUGAAUGUAACUGCAAACGUGGGUCCGGUGAGUGAAGGUGGCCCUGCAGUAUCUUCUAGCCAAGGGAAGCGCAGGGUAGUUGUUGCAAAGAUUAAGAAUGGACUUCGUGGCACCCAUCCUACCAGUGGUGUAGCCAGUAAAAUUGUUGAUCCAUCUCCGCGUCGAAGUCCACGCAUUGCGAGUGGUCCAGUGGUUGAUCGUGUCUAUCCGAGUGUUAAGCUUGAUGGAAAGCAUGUUUCUUUCGAGGGUUCAGAGGAUGGAGGUGGUUGUAGAGGACCUUCUGUUGAUGGCACUGGGCUCGACGGGAAUAAUGUUGUUCCUAGGAGGCGUCGGCCCAAGGUUGUUGGGAGUGGACCAAAGAAGAAGGUGGCAAAGUCCACGACGUCAAAUGCUGGUGCUUGUGAUAGGAUCAAUGUAACUGUUCGCUAUUCUUUGGGAGAGGUUUCUGAGGUAGUUGCUCUGCUUGAGACACGACAUAAAGAUAUUGUUCGUAAGGCUGGUUUUGGUUGUGUAUUUGACUGGGUUCUGAAGGGCAAUGUGUCGCGCCUUCUGAUGUGUCACUUGAUGAAGAAUAUUGACAUGGCCACGAUGCGCAUUGACUGUGGCCCUAAUAAAGUUCUUGUAGUCAGCAGAGAAAUCGUGCAUCAGUGUUUUUGGUUCCCGAUGGGUGAUGACACAGCUCCCAGGCCAGCUGAUAGUGGCCACGACGAGUUAAUGGCUAGAUUUAAGGCGGAGUUGGGUUUCAGUAAAGCUUCUGUGGUCGACAUGAAAGACCUAAGGACUGUGUUGAAGCAGCUUGUAGUCGAUGAGUCAAAGGACGUGCUUGCUGUAAAGAAUGAAGAUGUAGCCUUUAAAGUACAAAAAUCUAGUAACGCCAUGGAAGAUGAUGGUGUAUUUGAGAAGAUUGAUGAGUUUUUACAGAAGGUGAAUGAGUUGGCUGCUGAAGUUCCCACGACGUCUGAUCGUCUGAGCUGCAUUGCUGGCAUUUUUCCUGAAGACCAUGGACCAAGAGAAGAAUCAAUGAUGGAGGCUACAGAGCGUGAUGUUGCUAUCAUUGGUAGUCUUCGGAGUGCGACAUCACACAUUCGCACUGCUUUUAACCAUUUGAAGAAGAAACAAGAUGUGAUAUGCAAAGGCUUUGAAAAUGAUGCUCGUAUUAUUGUGAGUCAGAUUAGCAAGCAGAAGAAUGACGCGUCUGCCCCCGUGCGUGAUGAUGAUUAUACUAGUCAACGGGGUGAGGAGAUUAGCAAGCAGAAGAAUGACGCGUCUGCCCCCGUGCGUGAUGAUGAUUAUACUGGUCAACGGGGUGAGGAGGUUGUUGUUGAUGCGUCAGAUGACGAUGAAGAUGAUAAGCAAGAGCCCUCUGCUGAAUCUCCUCUGCAUGACUUUAGUGAUGACUACGUCAUUGAUGAUGAUUGUUUUGGUGGUGAUCCUGAUGGGGGUUGCAAUGGUGUUGAUGACAAUGUUGAUUAUACCGAGGGAGUUUUUGCACCAGACCAGCCUGUAGCCGAAGGUGAUUGCCACAAAUCUAAUGAGCUAGAGCUUGGGCAGCAAUUCCAUGCUUGUAGUGUUGACAUUUCUGAAGGGAAGCAAGUUGGGUUUGAUUGUCAAGGUGGCGCGUCAGUUUGCUUGAUGCUAGACAGGUGCCUAAAGGUGCUUGUGCGGGUGUAUUUGUCAUGGAUCCUUGGUGAUGAUGUCAAUCAUGCAGCAAGUUUUGAAGGAAAACAAGUGCCGAAGGAUACAACUAUGCCUGAAAGCAUUGGAGCCGGAGGUGAUGUAUUUUCUAUUCCGGUGUGCGAAGUCCCUGUUGUUGACGGAGCACGUGCAUCGAACAAGGACGCGAAGCCAGCUGUUGUUUCUGAACUUCUGAAUGAUGCUGCAGUUGUGGACUCCCACCGAGGUGGUGAUGCUCAUGCUAGUGUUGCAGGCCCCGAGGACGCAAGUGGUUUGAAUGCGUCUCAUGUGAUAGAUAAAUCAAUUUUUGAUGGUGGUGCAUCUGCUCCUGCAACACUUUCUGGGAAUCAUGUACAAGUACCCGAGGGGUUAGCCGCGAAGUUGAAAGAUAUAAUUUCAAAAUCUGCGUUGCGCGGUAAUUAUAGUAAUGAGCCCCAGCCUGAAGUUGAACCCAACGUUGACGAAGUUAGUGUUGAUGGCGCUUCCGAGGAGACAGAUAGUGAUGACUUGGGAUUGUCAGUAAAUGAAAUAGAAUCAUCUCAAACAGUCUCCAGUUUUACGCAAACCCCUGCUACACCGGAAGCGGUGCAACGCAUGAAGGACUUAUACUUUGCUGUUAUGAGGUUAAGGAAGGACAAGAAUAAAAAGGAUGAGGUGCUGUUUGAGAAUGCGUUUUGCAAAGCAACUGUCAAGCAGGUUGCUGAGUCUUUCAGAGUUGGUGGCAUGCUGAACACUACAGUUGCUGCUCAAUCUAUCUGGAAGGGGUCCUUUGAUAAUAGGCACUUGAUCAGAUUUUUCUCUGCCUAUGCCGAUGAGCCGCUGGAUAAGAAAGACAUUGUACUCCUUGGUGUCUUUGACCCUCCAGCUACCAGGGAAGAUCUAGGGCUAGAUGAGCCUAAAUUUAGUUUAUUCGAGAGCCAAUAUGAGACGCCAGAAAUUCAGGUAAUAUCGGAUGAUGAAAUAUUGAAGUCAGUCCAAGCUGUUGAAGUAAAGAAGGGCGGUGUGGAGUCAAAAUCAAAGGGGGUGGCUUGUGCUGUCCCGAAGGCUGUGGAUCGUGGUGUGGAGAGUGAUGAUGAUUCUUUUAUGCCGCCGGCACCUAAAAAGUGUUUGCGGCCCAUAGCUGCUAGUCCUAUCAAAGUGGUAGUGAAAUCGCCUCUUGUUCUGAGUGAUGAUGAUGAUUUUGUUUUGCAUGGUGAGAGAACAAUGUUCACCAGGAGCAAAUCAAUGGAGGAGCCAUUGUAUCUUCUGGAGAUUGAUCCGUACCAUCGGCCAGUUGAUGAAGAUGGGCAGGAGCUCCCGAGGCCGCCGUUCAAUGUUAAACUUGCUGCUCAAAAGUUCAAGUUAUACAUUAAAGAGAACCUACUUGCUGCAAACCUGAUCAUGCUCCCAUAUUGGAAUCGGAAUCAUUUCACACUGUAUACUAUGAACAAGCAUCGUGAGUCCCUGGAUAUCCAUGACUCAUGGAGAUACACUGGGCGUAACCUUUCAAGGAACAGAUUCCAUGGAGAACGUGUUGAAAUCAUGUCCAGGAUGUCUUUGUUGAUGAAGGAGGUGUAUGGCGAAGCUACAUACAACUCUUCAAGGCAGCCCCGUUGGGAACAUCUAGUAGAUAGAUGUAGCUAUGCAAAAAUGCCAGAGCAAGGGGUUAACGAAUGCGGCUUUUACAUGUUAAAAGCUGCUUAUCUGUAUGAUGGCACCAAGAUAGUAGAGGAAGUGAAGAAGCGUGAUCCACAUUCUGCCUACUGGAAGGCCGAGUGCCUUUUUAUGUUCUUUUUCACCCUAGUAAUGAGGUUCGGCGCGACCAGUGGUUGCGGGAGAUGGCUGACAUUGCUAAGUUGUUAG
This 3903-nucleotide ribosomal RNA is filed under the name Triticum aestivum (bread wheat). RNAcentral describes it as "partial small subunit ribosomal RNA". The record is from RNAcentral. Lineage: Eukaryota; Viridiplantae; Streptophyta; Magnoliopsida; Poales; Poaceae.